Molecule: ribosomal RNA, 945 nt
Filed under: uncultured Desulfuromonadaceae bacterium
Lineage: Bacteria; Pseudomonadati; Thermodesulfobacteriota; Desulfuromonadia; Desulfuromonadales; Desulfuromonadaceae
Description: bacterial SSU rRNA
Rfam family: Bacterial small subunit ribosomal RNA
Source: RNAcentral
UGGCGUAAAGAGCAUGUAGGCGGUUGUUUAAGUCUGAUGUGAAAGCCCUGGGCUCAACCCAGGAAGGGCAUUGGAUACUGGAUAACUUGAGUACGGGAGAGGAAAGUGGAAUUUCGAGUGUAGGGGUGAAAUCCGUAGAUAUUCGAAGGAACACCAGUGGCGAAGGCGGCUUUCUGGACCGAUACUGACGCUGAGAUGCGAAAGCGUGGGGAGCAAACAGGAUUAGAUGCCCUGGUAGUCCACGCCGUAAACGAUGGGUACUAGGUGUCGCGGGUAUUGACCCCUGCGGUGCCAAAGCUAACGCAUUAAGUACCCCGCCUGGGGAGUACGGCCGCAAGGCUAGAACUCAAAGGAAUUGACGGGGGCCCGCACAAGCGGUGGAGCAUGUGGUUUAAUUCGACGCAACGCGAAGAACCUUACCUGGGCUUGACAUCCCGAUCGCACCUUAUGGAAACAUUUGGGUCAGCUUGGCUGGAUCGGUGACAGGUGCUGCAUGGCUGUCGUCAGCUCGUGUCGUGAGGUGUUGGGUUAAGUCCCGCAACGAGCGCAACCCUUGUCCUUAGUUGCCAUCAUUAAGUUGGGCACUCUAAGGAGACUGCCGGUGUUAAACCGGAGGAAGGUGGGGACGACGUCAAGUCAUCAUGGCCCUUAUGUCCAGGGCUACACACGUGCUACAAUGGCCGGUACAAAGGGCAGCAAUACCGCGAGGUGGAGCUAAUCCCAAAAAGCCGGUCUCAGUUCGGAUUGGAGUCUGCAACUCGGCUCCAUGAAGUUGGAAUCGCUAGUAAUCGCGUAUCAGCGUGACGCGGUGAAUACGUUCCCGGGCCUUGUACACACCGCCCGUCACACCACGGGAGUUGAUUGUACCUGAAGCCGGUGGGCCAACCUUCGGGAGGCAGCCGUCUAUGGUAUGAUCGGUAACUGGGGUGAAGUCGUAACAAGGUA